AACAAUCAAAAUAGCAAAAUUAAAAAUCCAUCUUCUACCCUUACAUCCCCACGCAUACCAGUCAAGAAAAUCGCUUCACAUGUUCUAGUUUGAAACGAUUCAACGAAAAUGCUAGCUCUCAUCUGUAGAGCCCAAAUAUGCCCGGGCCCAAUAAAAUUAACUCUAGCCCAAUAACCCUUACAAAACAUAAGCUAAACCCAGACCCAACUACACCUGAAAUGGCCCAAACACAAAAACUUCAGAAACCCUAAGUAGCCGCCACCCUCAAGCGCCCCAGCAGUCUCCAGCCACCGCAGGUUUCGGCCUCCACGCAUGCCGUUUCUCCGCAAACACCGCUCCUCAAGCACGUACCUGCAACAAGCGAAAGAGAAGAGCAAAAAAAUCGGGCCAACAAACAACCGAGUAGAUUUAUUAGGAUUUAUUUUUCUUUCUCUUUUCUUUCCCAUUUUCGGCUAUAAAAGAGCCGAUUAAGCACUGUAAAUGGGGGAUUUUGCAGGGUAAAAACACAAACAGAAAUCAGAGAAAAGAUUAAAAGUACAGAUUCGAUUUUUUAACAAAGAUUUUUUUCCGUCUUAUUUAAUUAGUGUUCGUCAUUUACGUUUCUUUUUUUCCUUUUUUAUUUCGUUUAAAAUAUAAAAAAAAAGAAAGGAAGCUUACCUCUUUCGCCGGAGUCGUCGAUCGGCGCCACCUCCGUCGCAAUCAGAGCUGUGGCGCACGGUGGAACGGGCGGCGCGGCGGCUUAGGUUUAGAACCCUAGCAGAGAACAGAAAGGGGGGAGGGGUGCAUCAUUUUUUUUUUUUUUAAAAUGGUUUAUGAAUUUUUUUUAAAAGGAAAAAUUAGGUUUUAUUGAAAUUUCAAAAUGGCGCCGUUUUAUCCAAGCCUUGACCCGCGUGGUGACCCGACCCGAGGGGGAGGAUCCGCGCGUUUGGCUUUAAAGGUUUAAUUGCGCAAUUGGCCCCUCUUUUCUGUGAUGCAUUCCAAUUAAGUCCUUUCGACUUAUUUUAAAAAUUAGGCAGCGUAUUUGAUCCGCGUUUCAAUUCAGCCCACUGCUGCGCAACGUUUCUGGAGGGAGGGAAUAAUUUCCCUUUUAGUCCCCCAUAGUUGCGCGCGUGUUCAAGUGGGCCCUUUCUUUUAAAAUUUUAUUCAAAAUUCGUCCUAUUUUUUGUUUUUAUGUUCAAUUUAGCCCAUUUUAGCUAUUUUUCUUAUUUUUUUAUUUUUAAAUAUUUAUCAUUAUAUCGUUAUUUAUUAUUAUGGUUAUUAUCAUUAUCUCUAUAUUCAUACACGCAUGGUUUUUACAUAAUAUAUUUAUAUAUGCAUUUUUUUUAUAUAUAUAGCACAUACGCAUAUUUUUAUAUAUAAUAUAUAUAGGCAUUUUUUUAAUAUAUAUGUUUUUAAGCUUUUAUGAAUACAUGCAUAUCUUUUAUUCAUACGAUUUUUAUAUUUUUUUAUAUUUUUUUAAAACCUUUAUAUACUUUAUAUCUUAUAUAUACUUAUACCUUUUUAUUUUGUAAAUAUAUGCACAUAUACGUUUCUUUAUCUUUAUUUUAUUUUUAUGAUUUUCACAUACAUAUAUACAUGCAUUAUUAUUAGUUUUUUUUUUGGUUUGAUGUAUUUCGUUCCUUCUUUUUGUUUGCAAAUUUACUUGUAUAUUGUACUUGUAUAUAUUUGUAAAUAUUUAUUCAUUUAUAUACGUUUCAUGUUAUACCUUAACCCUUUUUAGCAUCCAUUUUAAAAAUAUAUUUCGAUUUUCUCAAAGUAUUUAAAUGAUCCUAUUUUAUAAACUCCAAAAUGUUUGGCAUUCAUGAUUCUCGUGAAAGAUCGUGGCCUAACUUACUGGAUCGCGGUUAUUUUUCGAUGAGUUUAGAAAGCCAAAUAUUUAUUUUGCAAUAAAUUCAAAUUUUAAAUAAAAACUUAUUCUCGGGAAUUCAAAAUGUUGGGUCCUAACUUACUGGUCAUGACAUUUUCUUCCCGAAAUAAGAAUUUUCAAAAACAAAAGGCAAUAUUAGGGUAUUUUGAAGAUUUAAAAACAUUGUGCCCUAACUUACUGGGUGUGGUGUUUUAUUUCUUUGAAAUAAGAAUUGUCUUAUUAUUUUAAUCCAUUCAUGAAAUAAAGAGUUUCCUUUUAAAAUCUUUUCAAAUUUUCGACACCAAGGCAUUAAAAAAAAUCAAUUUGGUACCAAUUUUGGGCGUUACGAGGGUGCUAAUCCUUCCUCGUGCGUAACUGACUCCCGAGCCUGUUUUCUCGAAUUUCGCAGACCAAAAUUAUUUUUAAGGUGGGCCGAUCACACCUCAAUAAAGGAUCGGUGGCGACUCCAGAUUUUGUUUUUAUUUUCAAGUCGAAACUAAAAUUUUUGUUUUCAAAAAACGGUCUCGACAGCUUGGCGACUCCACUGGGACAUUAGAGAGUCGAGCCAUAAACUGAUCAUAUUUGUCUUUGUGUCGAAAAUCAAAAGUUUUUAAAAAAUUCAUGAGUUCCCUUCGCACUCAUUGAUGUUUUAUCAUGGUAUUUUGGCAACUUUGCAUUUGCAUUUUGCAUUUCACCCUUUAAGUGGGAGCGAGAAACUAGUCCUCCGUGAGGUUUUCAUCUCCGUGCAGGGUAAUGGACCGCUUCCGGGAUACAUCCGUACCUAUGUCUUCGUGAGAUUUUCAUCUCCGUGCAGCCAUAGGGAAAUGUAUUCCCCUGAACUGAACUCGAUCCAUAUGAGCCUAUAAUGGGUGAAGAUCGAGGAAUCUGCUGGUUCGGGUACCUUUACCUUAGAAGCCAAACCGCAUAUAGUGAACCUUAGGAACUUACCCUAGGUAGAAUUACUCUAAACCUUAGUAGAUUCCUGACUAGGAGUUUUUAUUAUUUCUUGAUUGUAUUGGAUUUAAUGUUUAUACCCGAUACUAACCCGUUUUGUUUUGUUUUGGUUAUGAUUGAAUUGCAUUUUCAUUGUAGAAAAGAGAUGUUGAUUCAAGUUUGAUUACUAGUUUAGAAAGCCUAUCAUAAGAAAACGGGUUUCUUGAUAAAAUGGAAAAUAGUACGGCAGCCUGAAUAUAUUUCAAGAAAUACAAGAAGGGCGAUGGAAGAAUUCGUGACUUUACUUUGGGGCCCGAGGAUUCAAGAUGAUUUGUCUAAGAGCUUUCAACAUUCCAAAUUUCUUAAAGAAGCUAAUGAGCAUUACGAGGAUAGGCAGGCAAUGGAUUGUGACCAGAAUCAAGCAGAAGGAGCUAGCAGUGACAUCCAUUGGAAGUUCGCGAGGUUUAUCUUAACAUUCGGAUGAAAAAGGAGAAGAUGUCUUUGCUUCGAGUAUGAAGGCAAAGCCGUAUAUAUAUCUGCUUUAUGUAAAGAAAUUUGUCCUCUAGUAAGGUUUUCUAAAUGGAAUUAAAUCAGAAUCAACGUCUCUUUAUGCAUUCAUUUCAUGCAUUCGCAUUUCAUUACAUCAUAUGCAUCAAAGAUUAUUCAAAGAUCCUAAUUAACUAAAAUUAUUGCUCAGUUAACCUGGAAUCCAACCAACCAACCCAACACCGAUACGGCACUCGAGCAAAGACAAAAGAUAUGGAUCAGAGAUUAGAAAAGCUCGAACAGUACCAGAAGGAGAUGCAAGACCGGCUUCAGUUACAAAUGCAGGAGCGGUUAGACAAGAUGAAACAAGAGAUGUCUGAGAAGAUACGAGAAUCCCAAGAAGAUAUAGUGGCAAAGUUAACCCAACUGUAACUAAGGGAAGUGAUAAAGGAAAGGGUCCCAUGGCAAAUGUCGAUGAGGGAAAUGAUGAUGAAAUUCUUCACACUUCAGGUUUCACCCCUCCACAUAUGCGAGCCCAAGCUGAAUACCCGCGCAAAUCUACUGUCACUAUCAUGCCUCAGCAGUUUCGGGCUGGUAUUUCGAACCUCCAAACUGGGCCGGGUUCUAAUCCUGAAAAUAAUCCUGUUAACUCUGCCAUUCCUGACUUUGAUGAAGUGGUUGAGAAGGAAAGAAUGAAGGAGGAGUUACCGAAACAGUUAGAGGAAAGGUGUAGGUGGCUCGAGGAGAAGUUCAAGGCGAUGGAGGUCACUAAGAGUUAUUGAGGCAUUGACGCAAAAGAGCUGAGUUUAGUACCAGGUUUAGUACUUCCUCAUAAGUUUAAGAUGCCUGAAUUUGAAAAGUACAAUGGGACAAGCUGCCCAGAAGCUCACAUCACCAUGUUCUGCAGGCGAAUGGCGGGAUAUGUCAACAACGACCAACUCUUGAUACAUUGUUUCCAAGACAGCCUUGCAGGGGCAGCAUCCAAAUGGUACAAUCAAUUGAGUCGUGCCACGAUUGGUUCAUGGAGGAGCUUGGCGCAAGCAUUAAUGAAACAAUAUAGUCAUCUGACAGACAUGGCUCCUGAUAGAAUCACCCUUCAGAAUAUGGAGAAGAAGCCGAGCGAAAGCUUUAGGGAGUAUGCACAAAGAUGGAGGGAGGUUGCAGUCCAAGUUCAGCCACCACUCUUGGAAAAAGAAAUAACCAUGCUGUUCAUUAACACACUGAAGGCACCAUUCAUUACACAUAUGUUGGGGAGUGCCACAAAAAGUUUUCCCGACAUAAUCAUGAAUGGCGAGAUGAUCGAAAAUGCCAUAAGAAAUGGAAAGAUCGAUGCUGGAGAGAGUAACAAGAGGUCAGUCUCAAGGAGAAGAGAAGAUGAUGUGAACAACAUGGGUUACUCUAAAUCAGUUACUGUAAGUCAGCCAAGAAAGGUGGUUGCUAACCAGCAAGGUUCAUCGAGACAGGAAGCUGGUACAGGACAAAACACAGAGAGGCCCCGAUUCACGCCAAUUUCAGUACCAUAUAGGAAACUGUAUCAAAAUCUGUUUGAUGCCCAUGUUGUUUCCCCUUUUCCUGUGAAGCCUCUACAACCUCCGUAUCCCAAAUGGUAUGAUGCAAACGCGCAAUGUGAAUACCAUGCGGGAAUUACGGGACACUCGAUUGAGAAUUGCACUGCCUUCAAGAAGCAAGUUGAAAGACUCAUCGACAUGGGUGUUGUCAAGUUUGGUGACUCAUCAAGUGCAGAAAAUCCAUUACCCAAUCAUGAUUGAUAAUGGAGGGAAUGCAAUGCAUUCUGUUCAGAUAUUCGCUUGGGAUGUGUUAAAAAUAAUGAGACUGCAGAGGAAACCCCUAUAUUAUUUAGAGUCUGUUAGAGUAAUGUUCAGAACACAUUUGUUGCUUUUAGCUUAGAAGCAAUAAGAACUCUUUUGUGAAAUAGGCUCAUGUCUGAACAUUAUUAUUUUUAAUGAAUACAUUAUUGCAAUCAUCUUUGAGCAAAUGUUCUUUCAUUCUUUACGAUUUUUUUCCAUUCUUUUGGAUUUCUUCUGCCAAACCAUUCAUUCGUUCAUUCAUAUUAUUCAUACAUUUUUUGUAUAUCCUUUAGCACCUACAAUAGGUCCUUGGAUAUCAAUGACAUGAGUGACGCUGCUACAAACUCAGAAUCUCCUUUUGAGUGAGAUAUGUGUUUAGAGGGAUCUCACAACUUUGAAGAUGACAUGGAUUGUAGCUUAUCUCCAGACUUGUUGUGGCAUGGUCAUACCAGGAUAUGCCCAGGUUAAGCACUGUCAUUGCAAUCUGAACAAUAGCACGAUAUCAGAAAUUUACAGUAUGUUCAAGAUUAAUAUCAUGAAUGAUGCAGUGAAAAUUCUACCGGAGCAGUGCCUCUCUUUUUAGUUCAUCACAGUUUUUUCUAUUGAAGUUGAAAUUCUUUCUCUCCGGUAUUGGCUGAGCAAGUUGGAUGAAGCAGAAUAGAUCCGAUCGGAAUGUGAUCAAUUGAACUUGAUAGAAGGAAGAAGAUUAAAAGCUAUUCAUCACGGUCAGAUGUACCAGAAAUGAAUGAUGCAAGCCUAUAACAAAAGGUUCAUCCUAGAGAAUUCCACGAGGGUGACCAAAUGUUGAAGAUCCUCCAUCUACAAAAAAAUAUUAUGGAGGGAAACGGAUGCCAAAUUGGGAGGAACCUUAUGAUUAUAGAGAAUGUUUUUUUUCCAAAGGAGCUUUGAUUUUGAGCGAGAUGGAUGAUAAACCUGUAAAGUCCUGUAAACUCUGAUUCAGUCAGGAAAUUCUCCGCUCAAAGAAGGAAAGGACCAAGGUAAAAACCCGCAAAGGGAAGUUUGAGUCCAAAAAAAAAAAAGAAAAAGAAGUGAUGUGAAAAAAUGAAAAGAUGAAAAUGAAAAAUGAAAAAGUAAAAAUGGAGAGGCUAAGGUGAAAACCCGCAAAGGGCGCCUUAGACCAAAGGGGAUUUGAGUUGAAAACCCAAAAAGGGCAGCUCAAAUGUUGAUCAAAAUGGUGUUUGAAAUUUUCAGAGCAGCUCAAAUACUAAUCAGAAUAGGGGCUUGCAGUGGUCUUGCUAUACCUGAAUCAACAAGAAAGGGUAGGGGACAUCUUGGGGCAUCGACAAAGUACUCCUAAACACAUGUUAAACUCAGAAUGGUCUUCAGAAAGUCUGUACAGUAAAGUUCAAGCUGCGAUAUCUGGGGCACCUAAUCCUUAUACUAUUUUUGUUAUUCUUGGAACACUUUAUUCAUUUCCAAGAUACGCAUUCCUAAAUCAAUGUCUUUGUUAUCCAUCUUUAUUAUCUCUGAUAAUUUAUUCAUUUCGAGUUAUGCUCAGAACCAAUUCAAUUUUAUCCAUCAUUUUGUUCUCUUUGCAAGUGUGUUGCAUUAGAAUAAUGAUUAAUAGACUAAUAAAACUUUCACAAGGGAAGUUUUGCAUAUUACUCUAGAAUUUUCUAAAUAAUAUAGGAAUCUUAAGCAGGACUAUUGUUNNNNNNNNNNNNNNNNNNNNNNNNNNNNNNNNNNNNNNNNNNNNNNNNNNNNNNNNNNNNNNNNNNNNNNNNNNNNNNNNNNNNNNNNNNNNNNNNNNNNNNNNNNNNNNNNNNNNNNNNNNNNNNNNNNNNNNNNNNNNNNNNNNNNNNNNNNNNNNNNNNNNNNAAGAAGUUGUUCUUGGAAAAGAUUUCUUCAUUUGUGCAUGAGCAUUUGGUACAACACCUUGGGAAUGGUGUAAGAGACAAAAAAGUUUCACAUCCUGUAUCCUUGAAUUGUGAUAACAGAGGAUUGAGAAAAGGCCGAAUCUUUUUACUCUUGGGUUACAACGGGAGAAAGAUGAUACAAAUUUUGCGCCCCAAUAGAUCAAACUUGGAGGUUUACAGUGGGGGGCAAUCUGGUCAAGUGUUUCUUUAGAGACACCAGCCGAGCAAGAAGACGCUAUAACACAUUAGCGAUGAAACUUUAACUUUGAGUAAUGAUAACCCAAGUGAUAAAGAAGGAUCGUUCUCAAAACAUGACAUUCUGCAUUCAUUCAAAUGUCAUUCAUACACGUCUAGUUAGGAGCAUUUNNNNNNNNNNNNNNNNNNNNNNNNNNNNNNNNNNNNNNNNNNNNNNNNNNNNNNNNNNNNNNNNNNNNNNNNNNNNNNNNNNNNNNNNNNNNNNNNNNNNUCAUAAAUUGAAUUAUACAGGUCAUGUUCCCCAGAGGACAAGUCGAAGAAAUCGAUCCUAUCUCCCUGAGGUUGCAGUGGAGCGGAUUGACAUACGGAUCUUAUCUUUCUGAGGUUACAGAGAGUAUAUCAUAUCAAGUCUUAUCUCCCUGAAGUUGCAGUGGAGCAAACUGAAGACUUAAUCCUAUCUCCCUAGCGUUGUAGUGGAGCAGAUUGAAGCCACGACGGCAAAUCUUAUCUCCCUGGCAUUAAGGCUUGGAUUAGUUGAAGUUGAGCAGAUUAAAGCUUGGAACAGAUUGAAGCUACGACGACGGAUCUGGUUUCCCUAAUAUUACAAUUAAAGAGAUUGAAGCCACAACGGUAGAUCUUACUUCCUUAGCAGUGCAGUGGAACAGAUUGAAGCUACGACGGCGGAUCUGGUUUCCCUGAUAUUGCAAUUAAAGAGAUUGAAGCCACAAUGGCGGAUCUUACUUCCUUAGCAGUGCAGUGGAACAGAUUGAAGCUACGACGGCGGAUCUGGUUUCCCUGAUAUUGUAAUUAAAAAGAUUGAAGCCACAACGGCGGAUCUUACUUCCCUGACGGUGCGGUGGAACAGAUUGAAGCUACAACGGCGGAUCUGGUUUUCCUGAUAUUGCAAUUAAAAAGAUUGAAGCCACAACGGCAGAUCUUACUUCCUUAGCAGUGCAGUGGAACAGAUUGAAGCUACGACGGCGGAUCUGGUUUCUCUGAUAUUGCAAUUAAAAAGAUUGANNNNNNNNNNNNNNNNNNNNNNNNNNNNNNNNNNNNNNNNNNNNNNNNNNNNNNNNNNNNNNNNNNNNNNNNNNNNNNNNNNNNNNNNNNNNNNNNNNNNCACAACGGCGGAUCUUACUUCCCUGACGGUGCGGUGGAACAGAUUGAAGCUACGACGGCGGAUCUGGUUUCCCCGGCAUUGCAGUUGAACAAAUUGAAGAUUACAGAUCUUAUCUCCCUAAGCAGUAGUGGAGCAGAUCAAAGAUGGCGGAUUUUACCUCCCUGUGGUUACAAUAGAGUACAUUGAAGCCAGUAACUCUAUCUCCCUGGGCAGCAGUGGAAUAGAUUAAAGAUAACAGAUCUUAUCUCCCUAAGCAGUAGUGGAGCAGAUCAAAGAUGACGGAUUUUACCUCCCUGAAGUUGCAGUAGAGUAUAUUGAAGCCAGUAAUUCUACCUCCCCGGUCGGCAGUGGAAUCGAUUGAAAAAGUAGAUCUUGUCUUCCCAUACUGGUGGUGAAGUAGAUCGAAUAUACAAGUCUUAUCUCCCUGAAGUUGCAGUGGAGCAGACAAAAGUAACCAAUUCUAUCUCCUUGAAGUUGCAACGGAGUGCGUUAAAAUCGCAGAUCUCAUCUCUCUGAAGUUGUAGUAGAACAGAUCGCAUCAAGAUUUAUCCUUAAAUUAUAGUAGAACAAGUUGAAGCUAUAAGACUUAUCUCCCUGAAGUUGCAGAGGAGUAGAUCAAAGAUGGCAAAUUUUGAGAAGCUACAAAGUAUGAAUCCUAUCUCUCUGACAUUGCAGUGGAGUGGAUUGAAGCACCAGUUCCUAUACCUCUGAAGAUGCAGUAGGAAGGAAUGAGGCUAUUCAAAGUAAAAAGUACUAAAAAAGUCGAGGCUCAGUAAGGCCGGGCACAGUUGGGCUUUUAGUCUUUGCUCUAUUCCUGUUACACGACAACGAGCAAAGAGGGCCAGCUGUAGAGCCCAAAUAUGCCCGGGCCCAAUAAAAUUAACUCUAGCCCAAUAACCCUUACAAAACAUAAGCUAAACCCAGACACAACUACACCUGAAAUGGCUCAAACACAAAAACUUCAGAAACCCUAAGUAGCCACCACGCUCAAGCGCCCCAGCAGUCUCCAGCCACCGCAGGUUUCGGCCUCCACGCAUGCCGUUUCUCCGCAAACACCGGUCCUCAAGCACGUACCUGCAACAAGCGAAAGAGAAGAGCAAAAAAAUCGGGCCAACAAACAACCGAGUAGAUUUAUUAGGAUUUAUUUUUCUUUCUCUUUUCUUUCCCAUUUUCGGCUAUAAAAGAGCCGAUUAAUCACUGUAAAUGGGGGAUUUUGCAGGGUAAAAACACAAACAGAAAUCAGAGAAAAGAUUAAAAGUACAGAUUCGAUUUUUUAACAAAGGUUUUUUUCCGUCUUAUUUAAUUGGUGUUCGUCAUUUACGUUUCUUUUUUUCCUUUUUUAUUUCGUUUAAAAUAUAUAAAAAAAGGAAGCUUACCUCUUUCGCCGGAGUCGUCGAUCGGCGCCACCUCCGUCGCAAUCGGAACUGUGGCGCACGGUGGAACGGGCGGCGCGGUGGCUUAGGUAUAGAACCCUAGCAGAGAACAGAAAGGGGGGAGGGGUGCAGUUUUUUUGUUUUAAAAUGGUUUAUGAAUUUUUUUUAAAAGGAAAAAUUGGGUUUUAUUGAAAUUUCAAAACGGCGCCGUUUUAUCCAAGCCUUGACCCGCGUGGUGACCCGACCCGAGGGGGAGGAUCCGCGCGUUUGGCUUUAAAGGUUUAAUUGUGCAAUUGGCCCCUCUUUUCUGCGAUGCGUUCCAAUUAAGUCCUUUCGACUUAUUUUAAAAAUUAGGCCGCGUAUUUGAUCCGCGUUUCAAUUCAGCCCACUGUUGCGCAGCGUUUCUGGAGUGAGGGAAUAAUUUCCCUUUUAGUCCCCCAUAGUUGCGCGCGUGUUCAAGUGGGCCCUUCCUUUUAAAAUUUUAUUCAAAAUUCAUCCCAUUUUUUGUUUUUAUGUUCAAUUUAGCCCAUUUUUGCUAUUUUUCUUAUUUUUUUAUUUUUAAAUAUUUAUCAUUAUAUCGUUAUUUAUUAUUAUGGUUAUUAUCAUUAUCUCUAUAUUCAUACACGCAUGGUUUUUACAUAAUAUAUUUAUAUAUGCAUUUUUUUAUAUAUAUAGCACAUACGCAUAUUUUUAUAUAUAAUAUAUAUAGGCAUUUUUUUAAUAUAUAUGUUUUUAAGCUUUUAUGAAUACAUGCAUAUCUUUUAUUCAUACGAUUUUUAUAUAUUUUUUUAUAUUUUUUUAAAACCUUUAUAUACUUUAUAUCUUAUAUAUACUUAUACCUUUUUAUUUUGUAAAUAUAUGCACAUAUACGUUUCUUUAUCUUUAUUUUAUUUUUAUGAUUUUCACAUACAUAUAUACAUGCAUUAUUAUUAGUUUUUUUUUGGUUUGAUGUAUUUCGUUCCUUCUUUUUGUUUGCAAAUUUACUUGUAUAUUGUACUUGUAUAUAUUUGUAAAUAUUUAUUCAUUUAUAUACGUUUCAUGUUAUACCUUAACCCUUUUUAGCAUCCAUUUUAAAAAUAUAUUUCGAUUUUCUCAAAGUAUUUAAAUGAUCCUAUUUUAUAAACUCCAAAAUGUUUGGCAUUCAUGAUUCUCGUGAAAGAUCGUGUCCUAACUUACUGGACCGCGGUUAUUUUUCGAUGAGUUUAGAAAGCCAAAUAUUUGUUUUGCAAUAAAUUCAAAUUUUAAAUAAAAACUUAUUCUCGGGAAUUCAAAAUGUUGGGUCCUAACUUACUGGUCAUGACAUUUUCUUCCCGAAAUAAGAAUUUUCAAAAACAAAAGGCAAUAUUAGGGUAUUUUGAAGAUUUAAAAACAUUGUGCCCUAACUUACUGGGUGUGGUGUUUUAUUUCUUUGAAAUAAGAAUUGUCUUAUUAUUUUAAUCCAUUCAUGAAAUAAAGAGUUUCCUUUUAAAAUCUUUUCAAAUUUUCGACACCAAGGCAUUAAAAAAAAUUAAUUUGGUACCAAUUUUGGGCGUUACGAGGGUGCUAAUCCUUCCUCGUGCGUAACUGACUCCCGAGCCUGUUUUCUCGAAUUUCGCAGACCAAAAUUAUUUUUAAGGUGGGCCGAUCACACCUCAAUAAAGGAUCGAUGGCGACUCCAGAUUUUGUUUUUAUUUUUAUGUCGAAACUAAAAUUUUUGUUUUCAAAAAACGGUAUCGACAUCAUCCUCUGUUGUAGUGUUAUUUCCAUUCCGGCCGUGGCUGUUAUGUGGUUCUGCACAAAUUCCUAUCGUCAACCACCACAAUCUCCCGAAUUGCCACUGGCCCCUCCUCCACCCAUCAAACAUAUCGCUUCCGAAUGAAGCACUCCGCCGCCAACAAGUGAGCCAACCUAUUACCUCCCUUUUUUAUAUGCUGGAAUUUGAAACUUUCAAAACCUAUUAUAAUCUUUUUAGAUUUCCAGAUGUUAUUACUAACAUUCGAUCUGUCUAUAUCUUGUAUUCUGAGCUAUGAAAUAAUCACGAGUGAGCCUCCUUCAACCUCAACUUCUCGAAACCCAAUCUCUUGGGCAAAUCAAACGACCUGAACAACUGCCACUUGCUAAAGCUUUUGUCACCUCCACAAACAGUAUGUUCCUUUCCCAACUACAUGUUACACCCAUUAUCAAGCCUUUGUUGUCCCCAAUGAUUAUGCCCGAACUUGAUGCCUUCAGGUCACUGUAACAUCUCCUGUCGAAGUUAACCUUGACCAGUCGAUCUUUUGGGGGUAACCACCUCUUUGUUUCUUUAGUCACGCUUCUCGGGUAAGAGUCCUCCAAUAUUUCUAGUUCUUUGAUAUACCGCAGUAAGAAUGUACAUAGUUCACUAUUGGAUUGCCUUUUACCUUUAUGCAAUAAUUUGUUUCUCGAUAGCCAUAGUGCCCAGAUGGUGAUAAUAAUCAGUACCUGUUGCUGAGUAUUUCUAGUAAAUAACUGUUGGAGCCAUUCAAACAACGAUUCCUCUGUCUAAUUAAAAUUCCAAGUGAUACAUAAUUGCUACCAUACUUGUACUACAUAAGGACAAUCUCGGCAAGCAUGAGAAGUAGUCUCUGCUGCCUCUCCACAAGCAAACAUACAUCAUCAUUUACUAGCCUUCUAACUUGCAAAUUAGAUCUAGUGGUAUAUGAUUAUGUAAAACUCU
RNAcentral lists this long non-coding RNA (12312 nucleotides) under Gossypium raimondii (Peruvian cotton). Its description in RNAcentral is "long non-coding RNA (GRAI_LNC007152)". The record is from RNAcentral. Lineage: Eukaryota; Viridiplantae; Streptophyta; Magnoliopsida; Malvales; Malvaceae.